CUUGAAGAUGGAGCCCAAGACGAAGGGACUAAAGCAACAGCAGCAGCAGCAUAAGAAACUCCUGGCUGCAAUGCUCUCCCAGGAUUCCUUCGAGUCCAUCCACAGCCCCACGCCAUCUGUAAUAGAAGAAGACAUUGACAAUGAAGACGAUGCAAUGGAGUUGCUGGGUAAUUUUAAAAAUUAAUCACUUCUCUUUUCUCUUCUUUUCCGGCAUUGGAAAAGUGUGAAGGGAUUGAGGUGGGUUGGGGUGGGGGAAGUGUUAAACAUUUUGCAUAGUCCUGUCCGAGGCAAAGGGAUCCCUUUAACCUACACUUUCUUUCCAUUAGAGUUUUAUGAAGUUGCAUGUAAGAACUAAACUGAACCCAUGGAAGCAUGAGAAACAUUCCCUAGACUGUACUAUGUGCUUUGUGUAUACAGCACUCGUUCUAUCCUCUGACUUCAUUGAGCUUUAUUCUGUGUGCAAUGUGACAGGAGGCAAAUCUGUCUGUUUUGUUUUUUUAUUAGACCUGUUGUCUAUAAAAUACACCCACCUUCUAAGAAAGUCUUGUGAUUAUAAGGUUGCUUUAGAAGAAAAUCACAGAGUUGAAAGAUGUUGGCCGUAGAUUAAUGUUGGACACCUUUCGAACGUUAGGGAGCCUUGCAGAGAUUGCGAAGUCUGCCGACUCAUUGCCUUCACACACCUUCACUAACUUUGUAGGUACACUUCUUCUCUGUUUUUUUGCUUUUUUAUUUUUAGUGAUU
RNAcentral lists this long non-coding RNA (741 nucleotides) under Rattus norvegicus (Norway rat). Its description in RNAcentral is "long non-coding RNA NONRATT022988". Lineage: Eukaryota; Metazoa; Chordata; Mammalia; Rodentia; Muridae. The record is from RNAcentral.